CUGCCCUCAAGCCCGGCUUGUGUGUUGGGCCGACGUCCCCUAGGGACGGGCCCGAAAGGCAGUGGCGGCACCGCGACCGGUCCUCGAGCGUAUGGGGCUUUGUCACCCGCUCUGUAGGCCCGGCCGGCGCCCGCCGACGACUCCAAUCUUCUCCA
RNAcentral lists this unclassified non-coding RNA (155 nucleotides) under uncultured Aspergillaceae. Its description in RNAcentral is "sequence contains ITS2". Lineage: Eukaryota; Fungi; Ascomycota; Eurotiomycetes; Eurotiales; Aspergillaceae. The record is from RNAcentral.